CCUACGGGAGGCAGCAGUAGGGAAUCUUCCACAAUGGGCGAAAGCCUGAUGGAGCAACGCCGCGUGGGUGAAGAAGGUCUUCGGAUCGUAAAACCCUGUUGUUAGAGAAGAAAGUGCGUGAGAGUAACUGUUCACGUUUCGACGGUAUCUAACCAGAAAGCCACGGCUAACUACGUGCCAGCAGCCGCGGUAAUACGUAGGUGGCAAGCGUUAUCCGGAUUUAUUUGGCGUAAAGGGAACGCAGGCGGUCUUUUAAGUCUGAUGUGAAAGCCUUCGGCUUAACCGGAGUAGUGCAUUGGAAACUGGGAGACUUGAGUGCAGAAGAGGAGAGUGGAAGUCCAUGUGUAGCGGUGAAAUGCGUAGAUAUAUGGAAGAACACCAGUGGCGAAAGCGGCUCUCUGGUCUGUAACUGACGCUGAGGUUCGAAAGCGUGGGUAGCAAACAGGAUUAGAUACCCUGGUAGUC
This 465-nucleotide ribosomal RNA is filed under the name uncultured bacterium. RNAcentral's name for it is "partial 16S ribosomal RNA". It matches the Rfam family "Bacterial small subunit ribosomal RNA", at positions 338 to 795 of the family's 1533-position model. The record is from RNAcentral.